RNAcentral lists this ribosomal RNA (471 nucleotides) under Triticum aestivum (bread wheat). RNAcentral's name for it is "partial small subunit ribosomal RNA". The record is from RNAcentral. Lineage: Eukaryota; Viridiplantae; Streptophyta; Magnoliopsida; Poales; Poaceae.
AUGAUAGGGAUGCGGAUGCGGAUGCGGCGGAGGAGAGCGCGUCCACCCGCGCGUGCUCGUCGGCGCGCACGCUCAGGACGUCCCGAGCACGAGCUAACUCGGGGGAGUCGGCCAUGGCCACCUGCUGCAGCUCUGCCUGAUGAUUAUCUUUCUCCGGUGGAUUUGGGAAUUUGUGACCGACUGACUCUGGUUGUUGGUGCCACGCGAGCAAGGUCCAAGGCCUACGGACCAGCACCAACCGCAUCGAUUCCAGUCGACUCAACCACGCCAACAAAAGAGAGAGAGAGAGAGAGAGAGAGAGAGAGAGAGAGAGAGAGAGAGAGAAAUCAGCCACCAAGUUGGGCCGGAAGAAAAGAGAAAAAAGCCCAGCAACACAGUCUCGACUCGUCGCACGACCGCGGUGGACACUGCCUCCCGUCCCCUGAUUCUCCUCGCCACUGCUCCGCGCUCCGGUCGAUCUCGCCGCCCUGA